CCAUCUCUCAGCCCUGUGCUCCCAGCAUCACUCAAGGGCAGCGGCUUCUCCCUCCCCGGGGCCUCGCACCUAGCAGCGGUAACCCAAAUCGGGUGGGAUCCAGCGAGGUGCAGCAACCUUGGGGGGUGCGCGGGGAUCUGCCCCGGUGCCCUCCGCCUCCCCACGCCAGGAAGAUUUCUCUGGGGCCGUGCCAGGCUUACGUAAAGCCCAGCGAGCUGCAAUAACAACAAGGCUGUUUGGCUGGCUGAGGCCGAGCCGCUGCCAACGUCCCGUCCCCUUACACGCUGCGCGGGCUUCGGGCAUCUCGCGGGGACCCGGCUCAGGAGAGGAGUCGCCGCUGGCACCCACCCGGCGUUUCGGGAAAGAGCUCUGAGCUUUGGGAAGAGUCCUGGGUUGCAGAUGAGAAGGGCUUUAAGCGGGGAACGGUCACGCCGGGCCAGACCCCAGCGGUGCCCGUGGUGCCGGCUCAGAGCGGGACCGCUGCGGGAUGCCCGGGGAUGGAUAGCCAACAUAAUGAGAGUGCGAGGAAGAGUGCAGAGGAAGGCUGGCUCAGGUGGGCUGGAGACUUUGCUUUGCUAAGAGAGGGACGGCGAAGGCACGUGGGGCCCCUCCUGCAUCCCGGACUGGCAUUUGCUGGUCACUGGUGGCUGGAAAGGUGUGAGGAGCCCUCCUUUGCUCUCCUGAGACCUUACAAACUCCUGCCACUGAUGAGACAAGUGAGAUCACCUCUAGCUGCAGGAGACCAUCAUCCUGGUCACAGUGCUGCUCCCUUAUGAGGUGGAGAGCAACGAGGGGACAGGGUUGAAGAGAAAUGAAGGAGGGUUGGCAUUUGGGGCAGUGCCAUACAAAUGGGAUGUCACUGGUUGCUCCUUACAGCCAAGCCCAUCCCAGUUACCUCUGGGGAAGCAGAGGUCCCACCAGUGGGAUCUCUUUGAUCUCCCAGGAGAUAGUGGGGAGAGCAGCUGUAAGAGGGAAGCCCACCCUGACCCACCAUCACUGGGGAAGUGUGGAGGAGGAGGAGACUGAAGCCUCUUCCCCUAAAACCCAGCAGUGAAACGCACCGUGCUGCUCGCGGAGCUGAGGAUUUUAAUCCUAUUUCUCAAAUCGUUUUGUUCGUUGUCACAACCACUUGAGAUUUCAGCUCCUUUCCCAGAGUUUUCUCAACCAAACGCUCGCCCUGGCAGUCUGGAUCUGGCCCUGGAUGACUUUUAUGAGGGACCUUCUGGAGGAAAGCGUGUUGGAUGGGUGCUGCUGGGGAUGGGAUGGGCCCUGGUGAUGGAGAGAUCAAACCUUCUGCUCACGGGAGCGUCUGAGCGCUGGAUGCUCUUCAGAGAAGAGGGAAAUCCCGGGAAGAAUGGGAGUGCAACGGGCCCUGGAGAGCCCUCGUGAAGGAGGAAAGCUCAGGUGGUGGUUCCACAGGGCAGAAGUCCUCUUCUCCUUCCCCACAGGUGCCCAAGGAAGUCCCCUGGGGAAGCAGCCAGCCCAGGGGCUGAGCUGAAAUCAGCCCUUCCCCAAAGCUGGGACCAUUGCUCAGGCUCUCUUUUGAGUUUUCCUACAAGGACUCUCUUUCCCGAGAGCUGAGCGUGCCUGGGCUGCCAGAGGACACAGGACCUCUAGCUCUCUGGAGCUGCACGUGGCGUGGGCAACCGUUGGGAGCAGGACCUUGGGGCAAAGGAGGAGAGAAACCAGUGUCACAGGAGAUAUCCUCUGGGCACCAGCAUCUCCGGGUCCGGGGCCAGAAAGCAUCAUCUCUUCUAGGAUCAUCCAGUCGUUGGCCAUGGUUUGGCCUUUGGGACCGCCAUGUCCUCACAGCUGCUGGGAAGGCUGGAAGGCUGGAGCUGCUUAAUAAAAUCCCCGUUUUCUUCUUCCCAGCCGAGGGCUGCCUCGUUGCUCUCUCUGCCUGCACCAGACAGACCACCCACUGCCUUGCAUCCAGCUUUGGAGGCUGUGUCCCAGGACCACGGCCACAGGCAGAGCUGGAUCCAGCCCCUUCCCAUGGCCAGCUCAGUAAUCCAGAUGGCUCAUCCACGGGAUGCCGUGACCCAGAUCACGUCCCUCCUCCCACUCUGGCUACGGGAGAGCCCUUGCUGGGAAUGCAGCAGCUUCUGGCCACCGUGGCUCCUGCCAUCCGGCGCUGGCAUCAGCCGACACCGGGAAUUUAACUGCGCACGGGGAUGAAGGGCAAAGCCCCACUUCAUCUCUCUUCCAACCCAUCUGAAACUAGGCAUCGCUCCACGCAGUUGGCAGCGGUUCAUCCUCACUCAGGCGGCCAAAGAUUGCACUAAAAAGCCUGGGAAAGAGCAGAGAGAAGGGGACGGUUGUUGGGCUGGGAAGAGAGGGACUCCUCGCCUCUUGCAGGCACCCGGGGAAAGUCACGCUCCAGCCAAAAAUUGGGCACGGGCUCCUGCGGUACCCAGGACGCUCCCGGCAUUUGCAUUUUGAGCAGCAAAAGGGCAAGAGGCAUCACAGGGGGGGAAAUGAAGAAGAGAGGGAUUAUUCAAGGAUGAAGCGUGAAUCAUAGGGUACGACUGGAGGUUGCUUUCCAGGAGGCCAGAGGAGCAAAGCACUGAGUUAAAAUGCAAGCAGUGAUGCCUGGCAAAAUGGGAUGGAGAUGCGCUCAUCUCUGUGGCUUCGCUCCAGGUCUGUGGGCCGUGCAGCUCUGAGCAAAGCCAAGGUCGCCUGGAGGUGGCACGGGCUCAGCAGCUCCCACUCGGGAAUGUCUCGAGGGGACUUGCUUUUCCAAGAGUCUUUUUGCUCUUUCUGCUGUCUGGAUUUGAGCAGCUGAAGAUGAAGGUGGUCGUGGUUUCCCAAAACAUCCUGCCUGCACCGGAGCUGGGAGCUGGAGAACUCGAGGGAGCAUUUUCGGACCAAAAGUAGGUAUCUGCCGAUCGCAGGCUGUGAUGCAGAUGCCCGAAGGUAGGUGUCUUUCGCCAUGCCCUCCGGUCUCAUCUGCUAGCCCACAAAACCACGGCUCUGCCACGAAUCUCUCGCUAUCUCACCCAGCCCAGCGGGAUGUCUUGGGCACCCUCCCAGGUCCCGCGGGCACCCCAAGUGGAUCUGGCCACCCACGUUUGGGUGACCGACUUGAGUACGUAACGUCGCGAGAGGUUGUUCACACCCCCCCUUCUGCUCAAAAGGCAUUUCCAAAAUGCAGCUCGUCUUGGUUCAUUCAAAGCACAGCAAGCUUAUCCCGUUGCACCCAGGAACUCCUGCUUUUCUUCAGGGAUUCCCAAUGGGUGGGAGGGUGAGCAGCUUCGGUGCAGCUGUGUGAAGCUGGGUGUGGAGGCUGCUACGCUGAGGAGUUGCCAAGCUCCAGGCGUGGCUUGUCAGCCUGGACUUUCCCGGGAAAUACAUUAAUGAGGAGCACCAGGCACUGGGAUGGGUGCGCUGGGUCCGUCCCCGUGGGACUUCUCCAAGCAAACCCAACCCAGAGGGGAGUGGAGCGAGCGGUGGGUUGGGAGGACAGUCCCUUGCACCAGGGCUGCGUCUGCAAGGUCACUCGGAAGCUGGGUGCUGGUGUAACUGGUUUCGUGGACCUACACGCAACGCCAAGAAGACCAGGCUGGGUCUCCCAGAGGCUGCGUCGCCCGCUGUAACACCACUGGUGUAAGAUGGUGGGGGGUAGCCCAAGCACGGACCCAAGCCCAGAGCAAAUGCCACGUGUCCCUGAGCAAGGAGGGGACAGGCAGAGGGCAGGGACAAGGCUCCGUCGAUGCUCGGCUCAACUUCUGUUGACUUGUGAGUUGCUGUUGGGUCUCAACUCAUCAGCAGCCCACGGGGCUCGGGCUUCUGCUUCCAAGGGGGGUAAGUGGUCUGUGGAGUAAGAGAGGAUGUAAAAUUGGGAUCUCCUGCCCACAGGUAAAACCUUCUGCUUGUCCUGAGCACUCCCUGACGUAUCCUCGUUAACCUGCUCUUAAAAACCUCCCUUCACUGACCUUGGAUGGUCCAGACCAGCAGUUUGCUCUUCUUUCUAGAAAGAUUUUCGUUAACUUUCACCUCCCUUGCUGCGUUUCAAGCCUGGGUUUUUCUGCUGGCCACCAGGCCACCGGGGACAGCACAGCCCCUUCUUAUUUGCAGGCAUAUUUUUUGCAUUUGAAAACCCGGGUCAGGUCUUUUUGGUCUCUUCUCUACUCUCUGGCAAGUCCCAUUCCUCCCGACUGCUGUUGCAGGUCAUGUUUUCUGGACCGCUGGAAGCGAUCGGAGCAAAGGCAGCGGUGAACUGGUGUGGGACCUCCGACCGUCUGCCCUGGCCCUGGCAGUGAGCGCAGGCGAAGAAAAGCCAUGAAGCCGCCCGAGCUCUCGGUUGCCGCACCAAGAGUUGUUUGAAGCAAGAACAGAAAAACACCGGGGAGCCGGAGAGAGGCAUGAGAGCCACAAGCACCUGAUACGGCAGCAGAGGAAUGAAAUCAGAGAAAAUCCAAUUUCCCCCGAGCAGGCUUCUGCUUCACAGAAAACCUUGCAAAUGAGCGUGGAAAAGCCACAUUCUGGCUCAUCUCCUCCCGGAUCUGAGGCCACAAGAGACUUUGCCACCCUCCUGACCUCGCUCUGUCCCCUUCACCUCAACUCCUCAAGGCAGGUCUGGACCCCACAGGGUCCCCCCAUGGGCAGGACACCCCCUCCCCAGCUUCGGUGAUUCUCCCCUCCCAGCACCAGCAGCUGCCACAGCAGUUUCUUCAUCUUUUCCCCACAACAACAUCCUCCGUCCACUCCGUUAUCCGUGGGGCUCUGCCCCUGGUGCCACGAGCUGCCCUCGCCGUGCCCCGCUUCUGCCGGCGGAUUGUCACGUUGCAGGCAGCCCCCACCACUCUGCAUCCAGCAGAUGAGGGCUAGGAGGGAUGAAAAGACAGACACGGCCCCCCCUCAUCCUCCAGCUGCUCCCCGUGACUUCUCCAGAACCACUUUUGGGGCUCAAGCAAGACAUUUGAAGGACAGAAGCUGCCUCGGAUGCCCAGGACCAGGCUGUGCUUUGGCUGGCAGGAGGAGCAUCCCCACCAGGAUGAUGCCCAAGGUCGAUUUUGCCGGUCGGACACGGAUGAAAGCCCCGAGCCCCUCCGCUUCCCUCCUCUGAUACAGGCUGGCGUUGCACCAACGGACUCGAACUCCAACUUAAUUGCCCUCCCUUUCUUUCUUUAUUGUUUCGACGAAAAGGGAUCUGAAGAAUAAACUCCCAACAGCUAUUUUAAGGGGAACAACCUAAUGCACAAAAAAGCCCACGUUUCUGCCAAAAUGGCAUCGCGACGCGGCGACGCGCUUGGCUUCUCCUGAAACGGAGCCCCAUGUCCAAUUUAGGUGAAAAUAUUUGCCAUCAGAGGCAGAUACCACAGGGUUCUCCCAGACCCAUCUCCUUGGAUAGUCACCCUCGCAGGACACGAUGGCUCUUGCCUCGUGCCCCGUCCCCGUGGGGCAGGGAGGGGAGGUUUGAGGCCAGGCUGGUGGCCCCACGCCCCGUCACGGCCCCCUUGGUGCGUUCCACCUGGACGGAUGGGGUGGAUGGCAGCUCUGGAUGAGUUGAGGUGGUGCUUUUUUGUGGGGAGGGGACCGGCUUCUGGCCCCUCCGUGACGCCCCAGCGCCGCGCAGACGCAGGCAGCGCAGACGCGGGGGGGCGUGCUCUCCUUCACCUUGAGAACACGACAGCUGAGGGGAGCCAUCAAAUAUUGAUGUUUUCCAUUUACGAGGCCCUCGGAGCCGGGCUGCGGUCAGCAGAGGGGGAGGCUGAUGCUCUCCAUCUCCUCCAGAGUCGUGCCGACGAUCGAUGACGGCGCUGGGAAGAAGAACGGGAACCUCCCUGGUGCCCUUGUCCCCGUCCCGUCGGCUGCGGGCUGGAGGUGACAUCGGUCCUUGCUCUUGCCACUUCGCCUGGUGAAACCAGUGAUUUUCUGCACCCUCCUCAGCAUGUCCCAGCUUGCCAUCGUGCUUUCCCAGCACCUGGGGAGAAGCAAAACCAACCAGCAGCCCCAAGCUGCCGAGACCGGCUCCCCUUCCGCGGCAGCACAAGGUCCCUGCGGACGGUUUUCCAUCGGGGCUGAAGGACGUGGGGAACGGCACCAUCAAGAGCACAGGCUCGGCAGGAGAUGCUGCAAAAUACCAGGGACAUUUGGCACUGGCAGAGGGCUUUGCUAUCGCUGCGGCACGCUGAGGGCCACGGGUGGGCUUGGCCAUUUUCGGGGAACGGAAUGGGUUUGGCUGGCGUCAGGGUUUCUUUUCACUUGCACUGGAUUUUUUUAAUCAUUUCCAAGCACCUGCUGAGGGCUGCUGUGAAGGACAGGAUCCCAAAUCCUUGUUUUUAGCGUCUCUGCAGGAAGGGCACAGGGUGGAAGCUUGCAUCGGCUCUCAGUCCCAAGGAGCUCUCAGGAUUCUGCUUGAGGGUCCCUGGGCUUGGUGCCUACAAGCCCAGCGCCCUUGGCUGGGGCUACACCGUGAACGAAGGACACCAGAAAGUCCUCCUGGAGCACGGUCCUCUCCUGAACAUUUUCCAGUGUCCCCUGCCACCACCCACCACCAACACAGUCCCCAGUGUCCCAGCUGGCCCCGUGGCACACAGGGUGCACCCAGCCCACAGCUCCCACCCCCCCGCCCCUCCGUCCCCGGGAGGGACGAGCGUGGCACGAGCACCCUGGGCAACACCACCGCAAGCCUGCAGAGCAAAGCUGCUAAAAAUACCCUCCACGCCUCGGAGCGGUGACAGCUAAAGCCUCCUCCCCCUGAUUUACAGCAUCUCCAGCUGCAGCGUUGGCUCCCCGGGGCAUUGUGGCCGCACUGAUCCCUGCGGCAUCGUGGAGGUGGUUGACUUUCAGGGUGACUUUCCCCAUCGAGAGCAGGCGAGAAGCCUGCGUGACGUGGCCUCUCCUCCGGGAUAGGAGCCGACAUCCAACCAUCCGACACAACCCCACCACAAGCCACCCAGAGAAGCUUGGAGGGGCCACGGGAUGGGAAGGAGGUGACAGGGAGGUGGCAAGCCAGAGCCUGGGCAGGAGCUGCCUUAGAGCCAGAUGUCCUCAGGGGACACCAGUUUGGUUUUGGAAGGGAGAAGAGGUUCCCUACACCCCUGUGUGUGCACAGCUGGUUGGGGAGCAGCACCCAGAGCCUGAGAUUUGGCCUCUUGUAGCCGACAGCAACUUAACCCGGAAUUUUGCAGCAGCGUGAGCCGAGCUUUGCACGUGAGGGUGCCGAAAGCCCAGUCCUGGGGUCAGAAACCAGUGUGAGCUGGUGGCUCAAGUUCCUGCCUGGCCGGUCCUCCCCAUCCAGCGCUGCCAGCACUGGGACAUCGGGAGCAUUUGCAGCUGAAACCCUGACCUCUUUGGGACACCUACCCCUGACAGGUCCCUUGGGGUUGGAGCCCCGCACCCCUCGGCACCCCUAACCUUUCCCCAGCCCCCCCUGCAGAUUGGGGACAGGCCAGGAUGUCCCCACAUGUGGAGCACGGGCAGAUCCCGCCAUCCGAGGUGGCUCAUCCUCUGUGGCAGCUUUCGGGGUCCUGUGUUUUGGGGGAGGCACCAUCACCAAGGGGAGCACAGGGAUAUGAAGGAGCCUUGAGCCGCGCGUCCUUCUCUGCUUGAACCCCCCUCCCCGAUCCCAAAAGUCCGAGGGGAUGACACGCUGAGUGUCGUGGUUUAACUCCUGCUGCUCCCCUCGAGCUGGGAGAGCCCAGCUCAGCCUCACUUACAGAAAUGGUAAAUUCGACCUGGACUUACCCCGUUUGAAUAACUGGCUUCCCCUGCGAGGAGUGGGGAGACUGGAAGAUCCCCAGACCCGCAGACAUUUGUCAGAGGGCUUUGCCGUGUGGGAGGCGAUGCUGUCAUCCCCAGCCCGUGCAAUCCCAAGUGGCUCCAUUCAGAAAUCAUCGGUGAUGCAAAAAAAAAAAAAAAAAAAAAAAAAAAAGAUGGAAAAGCAUCUGAAAUGGAGGAAACGCCAGAAUCCCGGUUGCCCAGACAACGAGUUUGGACCCCCUUGUCCGCACGCCUGAUGACUCAAUCCUUAAUGACACGACCGAGGACCGUUUCUGCCUGCAGGAACCCCAGCUCACCCGGGGAGCAGCAGCGUUCGCGGCCGACGCCUGAGCAGGCACAGCCCACGUCUUGCCCCCUCCGGGCCCACCAAGGGUGGCUCCCUGUUGAAGGCAAAGGACGGCUUUUUGCCCCAUGACCAAAGGAGCAUCACGCUGGGAUCGGGGCCAGCUAAGUCCUGGGGACACUGGGGACACGGGACCAGAGGCUCCGACUCCUGCAAGGACGCCCAAGGAAGGGAAUCCAAGAGGCAGCAGCAGUUACAAGGCUGCAUCACCCACAUCUUGGAGAGGUUUGGCCUUUUCCUCUGGUUUCCAGCACUGCGAGAAAGUCACCAGCAACACCCACUUGUGACUUCUAUUUAAAAUCCCGUCAUGCAAUGCUUUUUGGUUUGUUUUGCUUUGGUUUGUUUUGUUUUGGGUCUUUUACGCUUGCCAUCUGCCAGCAUCCAUUCUUCCCAAACCCCACUCCCACGGGGGGGUUUGGAUUGGGGACUAAAAACGCUGGGCAGGGAAUAAAUAAUUCAUUGGGCAAA
This is a long non-coding RNA of Tyto alba (common barn owl), 8539 nucleotides long. RefSeq lists it as uncharacterized. The transcript has 3 exons. Lineage: Eukaryota; Metazoa; Chordata; Aves; Strigiformes; Tytonidae. The record is from RefSeq and is a predicted model, not a curated record.